ACCUUGCUACUCGGAUAUCCGUGGUAAUUCUAGAGCUAAUACGUGCUAAAAACCCCGACUUCGGAAGGGGUGUAUUUAUUAGAUAAAAAACCAAUGCCCUCCGGGGCUCCUUGGUGAUUCAUGAUAACUUCUCAGAUCGCAUGGCUAUACGCCGGCGACGGUUCAUUCAAAUUUCUGCCCUAUCAACUUUCGAUGGUAAGGUAGUGGCUUACCAUGGUUUCAACGGGUAACGGGGAAUUAGGGUUCGAUUCCGGAGAGGGAGCCUGAGAAACGGCUACCACAUCCAAGGAAGGCAGCAGGCGCGCAAAUUACCCAAUUCCGAUGCGGAGAGGUAGUGACAAUAAAUACUGAUACAGGGCUCUUUUGGGUCUUGUAAUUGGAAUGAGUACAAUUUAAACCUCUUAACGAGGAACAAUUGGAGGGCAAGUCUGGUGCCAGCAGCCGCGGUAAUUCCAGCUCCAAUAGCGUAUAUUAAAGUUGUUGCAGUUAAAAAGCUCGUAGUUGAACCUUUGGCCUGGCUGGCAGGUCCGCCUCACCGCGUGCACUUGACCGGCCGGGCCUUUUCUUCUGGAGAACCGCAUGCCCUUCACUGGGUGUGUUGGGGACCAGGACUUUUACUUUGAAAAAAUUAGAGUGUUCAAAGCAGGCCUUUGCUCGAAUACGUUAGCAUGGAAUAAUAGAAUAGGACGUGCGGUCCUAUUUUGUUGGUUUCUAGGACCGCCGUAAUGAUUAAUAGGGACAGUCGGGGGCAUCAGUAUUCAAUUGUCAGAGGUGAAAUUCUUGGAUUUAUUGAAGACUAACUACUGCGAAAGCAUUUGCCAAGGAUGUUUUCAUUAAUCAGUGAACGAAAGUUAGGGGAUCGAAGACGAUCAGAUACCGUCGUAGUCUUAACCAUAAACUAUGCCGACUAGGGAUCGGGCGGUGUUUCUAUUGUGACCCGCUCGGCACCUUACGAGAAAUCAAAGUG
Molecule: ribosomal RNA, 967 nt
Filed under: Neokalmusia kunmingensis
Lineage: Eukaryota; Fungi; Ascomycota; Dothideomycetes; Pleosporales; Didymosphaeriaceae
Description: SSU rRNA
Rfam family: Eukaryotic small subunit ribosomal RNA
Source: RNAcentral